AGCGGAGGAAAAGAAACCAACAGGGAUUGCCUUAGUAGCGGCGAGUGAAGCGGCAAAAGCUCAAAUUUGAAAUCUGGCUCUUUCAGAGUCCGAGUUGUAAUUUGAAGAAGGUAUCUUUGGGUCUGGCUCUUGUCUAUGUUUCUUGGAACAGAACGUCACAGAGGGUGAGAAUCCCGUGCGAUGAGAUGAUCCAGGCCUAUGUAAAGUUCCUUCGAAGAGUCGAGUUGUUUGGGAAUGCAGCUCUAAGUGGGUGGUAAAUUCCAUCUAAAGCUAAAUAUUGGCGAGAGACCGAUAGCGAACAAGUACAGUGAUGGAAAGAUGAAAAGAACUUUGAAAAGAGAGUGAAAAAGUACGUGAAAUUGUUGAAAGGGAAGGGCUUGAGAUCAGACUUGGUAUUUUGUAUGUUACUUCUUCGGGGGUGGCCUCUACAGUUUAUCGGGCCAGCAUCAGUUUGGGCGGUAGGAGAAUUGCGUUGGAAUGUGGCACGGCUUCGGUUGUGUGUUAUAGCCUUCGUCGAUACUGCCAGCCUAGACUGAGGACUGCGGU
RNAcentral lists this ribosomal RNA (546 nucleotides) under Candida tropicalis. RNAcentral's name for it is "partial large subunit ribosomal RNA". It matches the Rfam family "Eukaryotic large subunit ribosomal RNA", at positions 49 to 601 of the family's 3401-position model. Lineage: Eukaryota; Fungi; Ascomycota; Pichiomycetes; Serinales; Debaryomycetaceae. The record is from RNAcentral.